This is a non-coding RNA of Viridothelium virens, 82 nucleotides long. NCBI's taxonomy places the organism in Eukaryota, Fungi, Ascomycota, Dothideomycetes, Trypetheliales, Trypetheliaceae. The record is from the annotation of a GenBank genome assembly.
GGAAAAGUGGCCAUACGGUAGGGCGAGAUAUUUGCUAAAUAUUGUGUUUUAACACCUGGAUGUUCAAAUCAUUCCUUUUCCG